This 669-nucleotide long non-coding RNA is filed under the name Pan troglodytes (chimpanzee). RNAcentral's name for it is "lincRNA". The record is from RNAcentral. Lineage: Eukaryota; Metazoa; Chordata; Mammalia; Primates; Hominidae.
AGAAAAUGGGCCCUCUUGGCCGUCGGGACUUGCACUGUUGGUGACUCCGUCUCCUUAGACGGUGGAGCCUGCGUGACCCAGAAAGGCCGCCUCGGGACCCAGACCAGGAUUUCCAUCAGCUCCCCUGGCUUGCAGGCCUUCUGACUUCUGACUCACCAUCAGCUCUCCUGGAUCCAGCUUGCCAAUGGCAGAUCGUGGGACUCCUUGGCCUCUAAUCGCAUGAAACAAUGCCCACGGUUGAUUCCAGAUCCUGGCUACUGUGCAUAGUGCUGCAGUCAACAUGGGAGUGCUGAUAUCUCUUCAAUAUACUGAUUUCCUUUUCCUUGGGUAUCUACCUAACAAGAUGGUGAGCUCCUUAGAGGGAAGUAUAGUACAUAUUUCCUCCAUGUCUCCAGUACCCAACACAGUGCCUGACGUUGAGAGGGCUCUUAAUAAGUGUUUGUGAAAGACUGAUAGAGCAAUGCCCUAUGAAACAAGAAACAGGAUAACAUUGCUUAGGACUCAGAGGAGAGAGGAGUGUGGUCUACACUGCACAUCUCUGCCAAGCCUGGCACGGGAUUUGAAGUUCCACACCACUGAGCCAAACACAUCCAGGCCCUCUUCCAACCCGGGGAUCUGGUGGUAAGCAAAAUACUAUUCCAGCAAGUGAUGCCCCCAGUCUCCUAAGGA